This is a non-coding RNA of Chelonoidis abingdonii (Abingdon island giant tortoise), 154 nucleotides long. The record is from RefSeq and is a predicted model, not a curated record. NCBI's taxonomy places the organism in Eukaryota, Metazoa, Chordata, Testudines, Testudinidae.
GUCUGGCAGGUUCCCUGCGGCGCCCCCCGGUCCGUGUGUCGGUCCGGCCCCUUCGCCCCGGUCCGUGGGUCUGUCCGGUUCCCUCCCCCCGGUCCGUGUGUCGGUCCGGCCCCUUCGCCCCGGUCCGUGUGUCGGUCCGGCCCCUUCCCCCCGG